Molecule: non-coding RNA, 384 nt
Organism: Meleagris gallopavo (turkey)
Lineage: Eukaryota; Metazoa; Chordata; Aves; Galliformes; Phasianidae
Source: RefSeq, a predicted model, not a curated record
GAGGCCAGGAGCAGCGGCGCCGGCUGCUAGCAGCACCGCAGCACUUAGAGCCACCGUAACUGUUCGACAAAGCGGAGUCUCACACGCAGCCUUUAGCGUUGGUUUAGUAACGAGCUGAUCUCGGGGCGGGAGAAGCAGCUUAUAGCAGAGAAGUAAAUAGCUACAGCAGCAAAAAAGGAAACCUAAAAGAAGCAUGGGCCAGACACUGCUAAAUGGAAGGAAGACAGAAUAGUCUACUGAAACACAUGACAGAUGCAAGUGUUGUGGUAUGCCACUAAAAUAAUUAGACAGUAUCUGGUGAGGAAAAAGAUGACACCUGACAAGGAUUCUGUAAUUAAUCCCUACAGUAUUCAAGACAUCAAGGAAUAAAAUAAAAAAACAGUU